CUGACAGCGCUAGGGAUGGAUGGCCUGUCUAUUUAUUUACAGAGAGAUACAGCACAGACAGUGACAGUGCAAGCUUCCCCACAGGUCCUUGACUGUGUGUCUCAUCUCCAGUUCUGAGGGCCCACCCACAGUGGUGAGAUCAUAGGUCAAUUUAUAUGGCCCAUCAAAGCUUUGUCCUCU
RNAcentral lists this small RNA (180 nucleotides) under Sphenodon punctatus (tuatara). Its description in RNAcentral is "TUC338 (ENSSPUG00000011119.1)". Lineage: Eukaryota; Metazoa; Chordata; Lepidosauria; Sphenodontia; Sphenodontidae. The record is from RNAcentral.